RNAcentral lists this unclassified non-coding RNA (1868 nucleotides) under Leishmania donovani. Its description in RNAcentral is "gene:unknown". Lineage: Eukaryota; Euglenozoa; Kinetoplastea; Trypanosomatida; Trypanosomatidae. The record is from RNAcentral.
UCCCGCUCAUAACACGCACACGCCGAUCCCCCCAACACCACCACCAUGCCGCCAUAGCUUCGCCCACCAGCCCCAUGCCCACCGCACUGCGCCCCUUACCAAGAGCCACUGGCUCAGCAUAUGCCCGAUGCCUGACGUGGUGAGACGCAGUGCUGCAUCACAUACUGGAGAAUGCCUAACAGCAGCCAGGACGCUCACGGGGCGACCAUCACACGCAGGUCUGAGACGAGUGCGAUGUCACGUUAUGAAGCCACCGUAUGCGUGAGCGAAUCCACUCUUCUGGUGGCCGGUGCGGGAGGAAAGCCGGGCGAGUUCAACAGCCGCACGCUCGAUGGACGAUUAAGGUCAUGCGACAGAGGCACUGUCGGCAUUUUUGCGCGAGACGUGUUUCUCCCGCACGCGCAUGCAGCGGAUGAUCGGCCACUGAGCCAGCGUCGACGACGCACAGCGGACAUCCCUCGAACGCCGUCAUGCGGAGGGCAGUCGGCGCGAGCUGCGUGUGCAGAACGAAGCGGCCUUUAUAUCCGAACACAUGACCAAUGCCGCUCAGCGGGGCCGUCCGCACUCGGUGUGCUCCAGAUGAGCAGGUGCAGUGGCUUUCCCUAUGACACCAUGGAAGCACGGCCACAGCGCGCCACCCGCAUCUGCAUUCCAGGUGGCGACGGAGCCUCUUGCGGGGGACUGCCAGCAUCGUGGCCAGGUUUUGCAAGCCUUGAGCGGACUGCAUCGAGCAUAGGGGUGGGUGGGUGAGCGAGGCAAGCCCAUCUGCAAGAUGGCCGACGCCGAGAGAGGGGCUUCACGUAGCAGGGUUGGACAUCAAGGAUCUGAAAGCCCAUCACGCGCUAGCGGCACAUGCGGCCAGGUGUGUUCUCGCCUGCGACCCGGCGGUGGACCAGCCGGAAUUCCGUGCCCCGAGGGGAGGGUGGCGCGUGGCGGUGGCGGUUUGCAUCGACAGCGCCCGUGGAUCCGGCCCGUGCCGCUUUUUGGGCGAGCAGUUGGCCACCUGGACGCUGUAUACAUCCGUCGGUGUCACCGUUGACCACGGUCAGCAGACGGUGCAACGGGGCCCGACGUUUCUGUGACGCCUUCGCGAUCACCCUCGAUGGGGUGCGAUGGCAGUGGCGUACAUGGAGCGGCUUGUGUCGAAGCUUCUCCAGGCGUCGAGUGUCACGGGCGUCCCAGCGCAUGGGUGCCGUUGGGCGGCCCAGUGAGCACGCCGCUGUUUGCCGUCGCUGAACCGUUGCCUCCUGCAGGGCGCAAGGCUGGCCCGUCUGCCAACCUCGGUGACAUGUGAGCGGGAAGUUUGGAUGGGGAAAGAGGGGGAUUUGGGAAGCCGCGCGGUCGCACCCCCGCGAUGUGUGCUGCCGGGAGCGGUCCUUGUAUCGGACGUGUUGUUGCUCGGAUGGGGUGCCAUGCUGUUUCGCCCCCACGGUGUGGGAGGGGUUGCUGCAUCCGGGGGUCGGUAGAGGUGUCGCCCCCCUCCCAUUGCAACGGUCAAGAUGCAGCGCUGUGCUGCACGGCGUGCAGGCGUUCGUACCGCGCCUCGUCGGACACGUGGCGAUCCGCAGUAGAUAACGCGACUGUGGUGGCCGCGACCCGGAAGCGCUGCACCGAGCCAGAUGCCCUCUAGGGUGAGCGGGCUUCAGCGCUGCGUCUUCUGCCGUAGCAACUACCUCCCCCCCCACUCAGACUACGCCAGAAGACAUGCGCUCAGCAGGCAGCCCGGAAAGGCACAUUGUUUUGCUGGCAGCUACCGACGCACGGGGACUUGGUGAUAGGGGAUCGAACUUGCGGAAAAGGGCGCGUUGGAGGCAGGAACCUCUCACUGCCAUGCCGAGGGUAGAACCACCGAACGAAGCCCGAAAAAA